AAACCAACCGGGAUUGCCUCAGUAACGGCGAGUGAAGCGGCAAAAAGCUCAAAUUUGAAAUCUGGCACUUUCAGUGUCCGAGUUGUAAUUUGUAGAAGUAGUUUUGGGACUGGUCCUUAUCUAUGUUUCUUGGAACAGGACGUCAUAGAGGGUGAGAACCCCGUAUGAUGAGGCCCCCAGUCCUUUGUAAAACGCUUUCGAAGAGUCGAGUUGUUUGGGAAUGCAGCUCUAAGUGGGUGGUAAAUUCCAUCUAAAGCUAAAUAUUGGCGAGAGACCGAUAGCGAACAAGUACAGUGAUGGAAAGAUGAAAAGAACUUUGAAAAGAGAGUGAAAAAGUACGUGAAAUUGUUGAAAGGGAAGGGCAUUUGAUCAGACAUGGUGUUUUUGCAUGCACUCGCCUCUCGUGGGCUUGGGCCUCUCAAAAAUUUCACUGGGCCAACAUCAAUUCUGGCAGCAGGAUAAAUCAUUAAGAAUGUAGCUACUUCGGUAGUGUUAUAGCUUUUUUGGAAAUACUGUUAAGCC
RNAcentral lists this ribosomal RNA (522 nucleotides) under uncultured Hanseniaspora. RNAcentral's name for it is "eukaryotic LSU rRNA". It matches the Rfam family "Eukaryotic large subunit ribosomal RNA", at positions 62 to 583 of the family's 3401-position model. Lineage: Eukaryota; Fungi; Ascomycota; Saccharomycetes; Saccharomycodales; Saccharomycodaceae. The record is from RNAcentral.